Bos grunniens (domestic yak) is the source of this 755-nucleotide long non-coding RNA. Lineage: Eukaryota; Metazoa; Chordata; Mammalia; Artiodactyla; Bovidae. The record is from Ensembl.
CUUUGUGGAGCCAGUGGACAAGUUCCGUUUAGUAACACAAACACUUCGGUGAUCCACUGCAGACUGAUCCCACAGAUUCUAGUGUGGCUCCUUUAUGAAGAAGAAAAGCCGCGUCUCUGUCCUUAGAACUGGAGUCAUGGUUUCCCAGCGACGCUCACUAGGGAGCUUAGCCUUUUCUCUUUCUCCUGAAAGUCUCGCAGGGAGAGCCUUUGCCCGUGACUUGCUCGUGUGUUCGAACUACAUUACCCGGGAUGUUCAGAGUAAAGGGCAGCAUUGAUAACGAAUGAAUUACCAGGAAACAGGCGAUUUCCGUUCAAAGCACACCUCGUUGGGGCGGGACUUCCGGCCUCCUUCCUAAGGCGGCCGUUUUAACUGCUCUAGGUCCGUUCAGGUCCGGAGGCCUGUUAGGACUGGGCGAUGGGACCGAGAACGUUCGAUGGGAGGGACUGUCGUCGCUGCACAGAGACGGGUCUGAGCUUCGGAGACGCCGUCUGGGGACCGCCUCGCCCGAGUCUCCCCGCCGUUCCUGGGCCCGCCACGCCCAGAGUCGCUGGAGGCGGCGGCGCUGAGGGACCAGCCUCAGAGUCCCAAGGCUGCAGAAGUACUUAAUAGAAACAAAACGGGUAUGUAGAGGGUGUCCUAGUUCCUUUCUGACUCUAACCCUCACUCACAUGUUUUCUGGUUUGUGGAACCCAGGAAGUCUUAGGUGCCGUCUUCCUAAUCCUUGGCUCUGGGCACCCUUGAGAAAAUAAGUU